Chinchilla lanigera (long-tailed chinchilla) is the source of this 1132-nucleotide long non-coding RNA. RefSeq lists it as uncharacterized. The transcript has 5 exons. The record is from RefSeq and is a predicted model, not a curated record. Lineage: Eukaryota; Metazoa; Chordata; Mammalia; Rodentia; Chinchillidae.
GCAAGCAGUACCUGGGGUCCGUGGGUGUUCUCUGAGGAAGCUGCUGCAUGAGUCAGGCCUGCAGUGUGGUGGAGUAGAGUCCUUGAUAUGCUCCGAGAUGAUUCAACAGCACAGCUGAGACCUGAGUGUGCCAGGUCACAAGAGUAAACCGCUCUCCCUGUGCAUGCACGGCCGGAUUCCAUCCAGAAGUAAUCUGGGAACCCAUGUGAGUCUCAUUAGCACAAACACAGAUGGAGUCCCAGAGGUCCCUCUCUUCAUGUGAAGCUGGUGGCUCCCAGACUACACACAGCUCAACUGGGAAGGUGGACUGAGUGUGAUAUGUGAUAGAACACAUGCCAUGUCCCAUCCCUUGCAUUCUGUCCACAUCCACUAACCCUGAAUUCUAUGUUGCUGUGCCUCAGUUUCUCCUGCAGGCACUAUGGAACCUUGCAAGGUCUUCAAACAGGGCCCACCACCAUCUGACUGCAUUCUCCAUGGCUCUUAAAUCAAUGUCGAGAAGGAGAGGCUCUGGUGAUCUAGACCUCAGGAGGAGCUGAGAUGCCUAACAACCAUCUAAUCAGUUCUGGACCCAAGGAAGGAACCUUUGUAGGCAUCAGGGAAGGUGGACAGAAACAUUCAAGAGGAGAAAGUACAUGUACUCUGCUGGUUUAGAAUGAGACAUGGAGCACAGCAAUUCAUGAGAAAAAGUUAGAGAGAAGUUUCCUCUACCACAUCCUCCAGCCGAUGUGCUGCCUCACCACAGGCCCAGAAGCAAAAGGGCCAAGUGACUAUGGACUGAAACCUCCAGCACUGAACCAAUAUAAACAUUUCCUCCUUUUAAUUUCAUUACCUUAGGUAUUCUGUUACGUAACAGGAAGCUGCCUAGCACAAAUAUGUAUUGGGAAGAGUGUUAGGAGCUCUGCCACAUACAACUGAGGAGUUAAGCCAGAGCCUGCCUGUGAGGGUGGAGGCUCAUCUUCUAGUGCUGCCCUAGGGCUUCACCACAGAGCUUUAGAAAAUAAAAUCUUCAUUCAAUGUGGAUAUUGAACCAUUAAUGGGUGAGAUUAAAGGCAGAGUAAUCAGUUAUUGGCUAUUGCAUUAAUCCAAGAAAAAAGCAAUAAAGGCCUUGGAGGGAGAGAGAGAGAGAGGGAGG